This is a long non-coding RNA of Lontra canadensis (Northern American river otter), 624 nucleotides long. RefSeq lists it as uncharacterized. The transcript is spliced from 4 exons. The record is from RefSeq and is a predicted model, not a curated record. NCBI's taxonomy places the organism in Eukaryota, Metazoa, Chordata, Mammalia, Carnivora, Mustelidae.
UUGUUGCAAUGUUGGGGUCUGAAAUAACACUUCUGGAGGCUGCGGCUGAGCACCACAGCUGAUGCCAUCUUGUAUUGUUUGUUAUUAAUUACCUAGCAUGAUCCACAAAGAAGGAAAAGUAACAAAGAGCUUGAAGACUUUCAUGGCUCCCAGGCCCUGGAUGGAGGCAGGCGGCCUCAGACAGGCAGAACCAAGGAGGUGCCCGUGACUGCACAGCCCAGCCCCAUCAGCAGAGACAAAUAAUGACUUCUGAAACAUUUCAAAAUCAAAAAGUUAAAACGAUGUUUCAGUGAUGCUACAUCUUGCCAGACACGGGCUAAUGGUUUGAAGAUAUUGGCCUAGCAAGAUGGCAACGAGCUUAAAAAAUAGGAUUCCUAAGAAGUUACUUUUCUCAGACAUCUCAAACCCCCAAACGAGAGAAGAUACUGAGGCCUGUUGCCACAAACCCGUAGAUCCGAACUUGUGGUGAUAGUCCGCACAAGCUUGUGUCUAUAGGUAUGUGUCUGUUAGGCAAUCUCACAGACCGCGGGUUUUGCCUGUAUGCCUACCCAGUCCCCCUUCCCAUCCCUUUCAUGUCCCGUCUUCCCCUUAGAGUCCUUUAAGAGUGGUAGAAAUGGAAGGAAG